GAAAUGCGAUACUUGGUGUGAAUUGCAGAAUCCCGUGAACCAUCGAGUCUUUGAACGCAAGUUGCGCCCGAAGCCAUUAGGCCGAGGGCACGCCUGCCUGGGUGUCACACAUCGUUUAACGAUGUGUGA
This 129-nucleotide unclassified non-coding RNA is filed under the name uncultured fungus. Its description in RNAcentral is "sequence contains ITS1". The stretch from base 1 to 107 matches the Rfam family "5.8S ribosomal RNA", at positions 50 to 154 of the family's 154-position model. From Rfam's summary of the family: 5.8S ribosomal RNA (5.8S rRNA) is a component of the large subunit of the eukaryotic ribosome. It is transcribed by RNA polymerase I as part of the 45S precursor that also contains 18S and 28S rRNA. The record is from RNAcentral. Lineage: Eukaryota; Fungi.